CAAAAGAUGGCCGAAGUUAUAGGUGACGGAUUGUAGCUCUGUUUAUGGGUUUUCUCUCUUUUGA
Molecule: transfer RNA, 64 nt
Filed under: Kulikovia alborostrata
Lineage: Eukaryota; Metazoa; Nemertea; Pilidiophora; Heteronemertea; Lineidae
Description: tRNA-Tyr
Source: RNAcentral